This 424-nucleotide ribosomal RNA is filed under the name uncultured bacterium. RNAcentral describes it as "partial 16S ribosomal RNA". It matches the Rfam family "Bacterial small subunit ribosomal RNA", at positions 360 to 776 of the family's 1533-position model. The record is from RNAcentral.
AAUUUUGGAUAAUGGGGGAAACCCUGAUCCAGCCAUCCCGCGUGUAUGAUGAAGGCCCUCGGGUGGUAAAGUACUUUUGGCAGAGAAGAAAAGGUAUCCCCUAAUCCGGGAUACUGAUGACGCUACCUGCAGAAUAAGCACCUGCUAACUACGUGCCAGCAGCCGCGGUAAUACGUAGGGUGCAAGCGUUACUCGGAAUUACUGGGCGUAAAGCGUGUGUAGGCGGUUCGGAAAAAAAGAUGUGAAAUACCAGGGCUCAACCUUGGAACUGCAUUUUUAACUGCCGAGCUAGAGUAUGUCAGAGGGGGGCAGAAUUCCACGUGUAGCAGUGAAAUGCGUAGAUAUGUGGAGGAAUACCGAUGGCGAAGGCAGCCCCCUGGGAUAAUACUGACGCUCAGACACGAAAGCGUGGGGAGCAAACAGG